Molecule: RNase P RNA, 385 nt
Filed under: Terriglobus roseus
Lineage: Bacteria; Pseudomonadati; Acidobacteriota; Terriglobia; Terriglobales; Acidobacteriaceae
Description: Bacterial RNase P class A
Rfam family: Bacterial RNase P class A
About the family: Ribonuclease P (RNase P) is a ubiquitous endoribonuclease, found in archaea, bacteria and eukarya as well as chloroplasts and mitochondria. Its best characterised activity is the generation of mature 5'-ends of tRNAs by cleaving the 5'-leader elements of precursor-tRNAs. Cellular RNase Ps are ribonucleoproteins.
Source: RNAcentral
AACGAUCGCUGCUGCCCUACGCACGUUUGUUGGGGCAGGGGAGGAAAGUCCGGACUCCGAGGGGCAGUGUGCCGGGUAACGCCCGGGAUCGGCGCUUCAAGGCGACGAGACGGCCAGUGCCACAGAGAAGAUACCGCCCUGAGCAAUCGGGGUAAGGGUGAAAAGGUGCGGUAAGAGCGCACCGCGCCGGCAGUAAUGCAGGCGGCAUGGUAAACCCCACACGGAGCAAGACCAAAUAGGCGGGAAGACUGCCUCCGCGCAAGCAGAGGCAAGAUGCGUGCCGGCCCGGCGCGCCAGACUCGCGGGUAGGUUGCUGGAGCCAUGCAGCAAUGCAUGGCCUAGAGGAAUGAUCGUUCAGGGCAGCAAUGCCCGGACAGAAUCCGGC